Canis lupus familiaris (dog) is the source of this 2832-nucleotide long non-coding RNA. RefSeq lists it as uncharacterized. NCBI's taxonomy places the organism in Eukaryota, Metazoa, Chordata, Mammalia, Carnivora, Canidae. The record is from RefSeq and is a predicted model, not a curated record. The transcript is spliced from 3 exons.
UUCUGGGUUUCUUGUUUGUUUGAUUGGUUUGUAGAUUCCACAUAUAAAUGAAAUCAUAUGGUAUCUGUCUUUCUUGUCUGACUGUUUUCACUUAACGUUAGACUCUCUAGGACCAUUUACGUUGUUGCAAAAACAAGUUAAUUUGGGUGCUUGAACAAAAAAAUUUACUAAUUGUUCUUAGUCAUAUUUUCUGUGGGGAGGCAGGUAGAGAAUGCUAUCCAGAGAACACAGUAACAGAGCAAUUAGUUAACUGAGAAAGAAGAAAUUCAGAGAGUGGGAAAAUAAAAAAUAAUAAAUUCUGAAAUAUACCCAAUAUUGUCCUAUAAAAAUAUAGCAAAAUUUAUUUGCUUCAAAAUGUAUUCGACUUGGAUUGUCACAAAUAUGCCUCAAUUUACUGACUCUCAGGCUGACUAAAUGUAAUAACCAAACAGAAGGAGAGAGGGGUGGGAUGAGAUACAACUGAGCUCUCCCUCCAGCCUGUUGCUCAGAGAGCACUUGCAUCUCACCUCCGUUCUUGAGCUGCUUCUGCCCUGCGAAGGCUGCUGCAGCUCAUGGGGCUGUAACAUGGGCCAGAGCACUCAGCUGCACAUUACUGCCCUGGGUUCUCCAACAUCUGCCACUGACGCCAACUCAGACACUCUGCGGCGCCUGCUCCCCACUCAAGGAACACAUUGGGCAGUGGUGACAGGCCAAACAGAGAGGUUUGUGUUCAGGGCUGAACCACUGUGGGAGGAUCUUGUAUACCUUGCCCGCAGUAAUAAACUCCAGCAUCAUCAGCCUCCACUCUGCUGAUUCUCAGGGUGAAAUCUGUCCCUGACCCGCUGCCACUGAACCUGUCUGGGACCCCAGGGUCUCUGUUGGAGACCUUAUAGAUCAAACGCUGUGGAGACUGGCCUGGCUUCUGUUGGAACCAAUACAAAUAGGUGUUCCCAUUACUGUGCAGGAGGCUCUGACUGGCCUUGCAGGAGAUGGAGGCCGGCUCUCCAGGGCUGACGGACAGGGACAGUGGGGUCUGUGUCAUGACAAUAUCCCCACUGGAUCCUAAAAUAAUGAGAGAUAAGUACAAGUUGUGUUAGAAACAGUAUAAGACAUUUCAAUCAUUUUGGGUUUUGUAUAUUUUAGGCUAAAUCAUAUUUUGAUUUUGAUUUAUAUUUUAAAUCUAUUCAAUUAUCAUGGAAAACCCAAGAUAGCAAGACAGAGUGACUUCUUUCUUCCUUAGCAUCUCACUAAAGUACUGUUCAUCAAAUAUUUUAUAUUCUUCUUAAUUCUCACAGUCUAAAAAUUAAAUUCCCCCUGUUGGAGGGCAAUCUGUCCCAUGCACAGAAUACACAGGGAGAGAAACAGCACCAGGGGAGCUGACCAUCCACGCCCCCAUGUCUUUCCUCAUCCCCGCCCUGUCCUUACCUGGGAUCCAGAGCAUCAGCAGCCCCAGGAGCUGAGAAGGGAACCUCAUCUUGAGAAGCUGAGCUGAGGAGCCCUAGUAAGUAAAGACAAGCCUAGAGCUGACCUUUAUCUCAGACUUUCAAGGGAAGGUCCUCCCCAGGGGACAAUAUGCAAAUCCCCUGGUGGGUGUGGCAGAGUGGAAAGAGGCACAGGCAGGUGCAGGUCCCUCUCCUGCCAGUGUAGUAGCUUAAAAGGUCUUCUGUGCUGGGAGGAAAGCUAACAGAGACAAAUUCUUUACUGCCUGAGUAGGAAGAAGGAUCGAAUUGAGAAAGUCAAGAUCUGUGGGAGACAGUGCUCAGAGUCCUGCCCUUCUGUGAAACCAGCAGAGACGUGAAGGUGUAGUGGCCAGUGUCCAUUUCUGGCAGGUGAAUGGCCCUUCUGCUUGAAUUCCUGUCUGCAGGAAGGUCCCGGGGGAAACAGCUGACACUCCCAAUUGCAGCUGAGUGGCAGAGGAUCUCCAAAUCACGGGAAGAACUGGAGAUGUUCUAGAGUCUAUGGGGUCUCCUGUUUCCAGGCUGAUGGUUUAAGACUGUUUAAUAAUGAUUUAAAAUAAAAUCACCCUGGGACCUUCUGAAUUAUGCUCUAUGAGAAGUUGAAAGCAAAAAACCUGCCAAGUAGGAAGAUUCUCUCACUUACAGGAAGAGAACUAAGAGUCACAUGGUAGAGAAUAUGAAAGAAGACAGACAGAAUUUUAGGCUUCAGCCUCCCUAAUGAACGCUGUUAGUGAAUGAAUUCAGAAAGACAAGCCACAAUAAUGAAAAAUGCCAGUAUGAAGACAAAAAGGAAAAUAUAAGACAAUAUUAUAAAUGUUAAGGUCUAAAAAUUAAAUUCUCCUCGUUGGAGGGCAAUCUCCCGCAUGCACAGAAUACACAGGGAAAGAAACAACACCAGGGGAGCUCACCAUCCAUGCCCCCAUGUCUUUCCUCAUCCCCCUCCCUGUCCUUACCUGGGAUCCAGAGCAUCAGCAGCCCCAGGAGCUGAGAAGGGAACCUCAUCUUGAGAAGCUGAGCUGAGGAGCCCUAGUAAGUAAAGACAAGCCUAGAGCUGACCUUUAUCUCAGACUUUCAAGGGAAGGUCCUCCCCAGGGGACAAUAUGCAAAUCCCCUGGUGGGUGUGGCAGAGUGGAAAGAGGCACAGGCAGGUGCAGGUCCCUCUCCUGCCAGUGUAGUAGCUUAAAAGGUCUUCUGUGCUGGGAGGAAAGCUAACAGAGACAAAUUCUUUACUGCCUGAGUAGGAAGGAGGAUCGAAGGGGAAAGUCAGGAUCUGUGGGAAGACAGUGCUCAGAGUCCUGCCCUUCUGUGAAACCAGCAGAGACGUGAAGGUGUAGUGGCCAGUGUCCAUUUCUGGCAGGUGAAAGGCCCUCCUGUUUGGAUUCCUGUCUGCUAAGGU